GCAUCUACCAGGAGACACAUGGAAAAAGACAUUCUCUUCCAUUAAUGAUGCCCGGAGAAUCGAAUUCCCUCUGUAUCUUAUACACUGCACAAAAAUAAUUCAAAAGAGGUGAAAAGCCCAAGUGUACAACCUGAGACCAGGAUGCUUCCACAGGAGGAUGUAAGAAGAGAAUCUCACUGACACUAGCUUUGAGGAAAUCUGUUUGUACAUCUUUUGAGAUGAAGGUUCACUGGGACCCAGAGUCAGUGUUUGAUCAGCUGUAUUGCAAACGGUGAGCUCGCCAGCGGGAGAGGUGCUCUCUGCCUAGCUCUCUCUAGAGUUGGAAACAUAGACCGUCCACAAGUACUUGCUCAACUCUUCAUCAAUAGAAUCCUUCUAUGA
Molecule: long non-coding RNA, 381 nt
Organism: Mastomys coucha (southern multimammate mouse)
Lineage: Eukaryota; Metazoa; Chordata; Mammalia; Rodentia; Muridae
Exons: 2
Source: RefSeq, a predicted model, not a curated record